CCUACGGGUAGCAGCAGUGGGGAAUAUUGGACAAUGGGCGAAAACUGAUCCAGCCAUGCCGCGUGUGUGAAGAGGUCUUCGGAUUGUAAGCACUUUAAGUUGGGAGGCGUUACCGACAGAAUAAGCACCGGCUAACUCUGUGCCAGCAGCCGCGGUAAUACAGAGGGUGCAAGCGUUAAUCGGAAUUACUGGGCGUAAAGCGCGCGUAGGUGGUUUGUUAAGUUGGAUGUGAAAGCCCCGGGCUCAACCUGGGAACUGCAUCCAAAACUGGCAAGCUAGAGUACAGUAGAGGGUGGUGGAAUUUCCUGUGUAGCGGUGAAAUGCGUAGAUAUAGGAAGGAACACCAGUGGCGAAGGCGACCACCUGGACUGAACUGACACUAAGGUGCGAAAGCGUGGGGAGCAAACAGGAUUAGAUACCCCUGUAGUC
This 429-nucleotide ribosomal RNA is filed under the name uncultured bacterium. Its description in RNAcentral is "partial 16S ribosomal RNA". It matches the Rfam family "Bacterial small subunit ribosomal RNA", at positions 338 to 795 of the family's 1533-position model. The record is from RNAcentral.